Molecule: ribosomal RNA, 271 nt
Filed under: uncultured bacterium
Lineage: Bacteria
Description: partial 16S ribosomal RNA
Rfam family: Bacterial small subunit ribosomal RNA
Source: RNAcentral
UACGUAGGGGGCGAGCGUUGUCCGGAAUUAUUGGGCGUAAAGAGCGUGUAGGCGGCUCGGUAAGUCCGCCGUGAAAACCCGGGGCUCAACCCCGGGCUUGCGGUGGAUACUGUCGGGCUAGAGGGUGGUAGAGGCGAGUGGAAUUCCCGGUGUAGCGGUGAAAUGCGCAGAUAUCGGGAGGAACACCAGUAGCGAAGGCGGCUCGCUGGGCCAUUCCUGACGCUGAGACGCGAAAGCGUGGGGAGCGAACAGGAUUAGAAACCCCAGUAGU